CGCCAGUGUCGCCCAUGUUGUUCUUUCAUGGAGAAACGAGGCGAAAUGAGCGAAACAAAUUGUUGCGGAUUAAUUUAUAUACUUAUUCCUGUGAUUUCAAAUACCAAUUUGAGCUUCGUAUCUUAUAUGCAUACUGUCAGUCAUUCCAACAAGUUGACUUAGCGCUCAGUCAAUUUCAACCUAUUAGGCCCAUCAUGAUGUCAAAAGCCAAAAACUCAUGUUUGAAGCAGACAUAUAGUGGAAUAAAAAUGUGCUGAGAUAAGGAUCUUUUCUGAAUCUCGCAAUUUUGGUGGUGUACCCUGAAACAGCAUGUUUUUUGUUAUGGCUGUUUCUACUUCUGUUUAGAAGGCAACCCAGAUGAGGGAUAGAGUUUUAGAGACAUGAAUGUGAAGUGACCUGCCAUGUAUGUACCAGAUCUGCUUGAUGAAAGUCAAAUGCCUUACUAAAUUCAUCACCCGUAUGAUAAAGCAUCAGGAAGUUUAUCUCAUCAUGUGGAGUUAUGCUGUUGGUUUCUGUGAAUUCAAUUUUUAUGGUUUCUUCUCUCUUCCUGUUCUUAUCAUGAACAUUUCAGUGUGUUUCUUA
Daphnia pulicaria is the source of this 582-nucleotide long non-coding RNA. RefSeq lists it as uncharacterized. The record is from RefSeq and is a predicted model, not a curated record. The transcript is spliced from 5 exons. Lineage: Eukaryota; Metazoa; Arthropoda; Branchiopoda; Diplostraca; Daphniidae.